Molecule: long non-coding RNA, 1333 nt
Organism: Gossypium raimondii (Peruvian cotton)
Lineage: Eukaryota; Viridiplantae; Streptophyta; Magnoliopsida; Malvales; Malvaceae
Exons: 4
Source: RefSeq, a predicted model, not a curated record
UCUUCAUUUCUUCGGUCCGGAGGUUUCGGCCAGAGUCUCUCCAACGCGUGACGGACCAUUCUUGGGACUCCCCUCUCCAGGUAAAAGCUUUCUCUUCUCUUGAGAGCCUCCGUUGCAAUAGUGUGAGCAUAGAUGUUUUUUGCUUUUGGGAUAAAAGAAAACUCAAUCUCUUGGUAGCUAUUUUUCCUGUUUUGAAUAUCUCUGAUUAUUACUCCAAUAACCAAUCUAUCUAUAAUAGAACUUUGACACUUCUUGAUAACCGUUUUUGAGUCGCCCAUAACUUCGAUUUUGUUGAUUCCCAAGCUAAUACCUAGUUUUAUUGCUUAUAAUCCUGCAUAUGCCUCUGCUGUAAAUGGAUUUUCAAUGUUGGAGUGAUGAACUGCCUGUGAUGCAAGGAUUUCCCCUUCCCAGUUCCAUACUAUUAGCCCCGAUGCCGAUCUGAACGUCUGACGGUCAAAAGCUGCGUCAAAAUGAACCGUUGCCCUUCCCCUUUUGAACACCUGUUGAAAACUGUCAAAAAAGUGGAGAGUAAGUUUUCCUUAUUUUGUUGCUUCAAGUUCUGAAAUAUAGCUUCUAAUUUUCCUUGCAAUUUCAGUUCCUGACAUUUGUCUUCUUUCAUAUACGAGUUGAUUUCUACUGAACUAGAUAAACCAGAGACCACAACAGAAAAGUCAAAGCUGCUCUUCAUUUCCUUGACCAAAGACUCCAUAGGGCACUGUUGAAAGAUAUGGCAAUUGUUUUUUUCUUCACAAUCGCAUCUGGGACACUGAGUAUUUGCCAUUACCCGCUUUAUUUUGAGGGAUAGAGUUCCAUGAAAUCCUCCAUAUUAUCAUUUUGAUCUUCGACGGGAUAUGUAAUUUCCAUAGCUUUCUAUAGAAAUUUAUAGUUUCGGUAUGUAAACUUAAAUCAUUAGGAGCCAAGGUAGACUCAUGUAAUAGUUUAUAGGCGCUCCUAACUGAAAACUCCCCGGUCGGCUGCCCUCUCCAAACUUGAAAAUCCUCAUGUUCCAUCUCCGCCAGUGGGAUCUUUAAAAUUUUCUCCGCUACAUCCGGUAGGAAGAUCAUCUCGAAUGGAAAUUUUAUCACCUCUUUCCACCCUCCAGCAAAAACCUUUUUCAAGUAGACCUUUCGCAGUCCAAACACUUUUCCAGGUAAGCAAAGGAUUUCUUCUUCUUCAUCAUCAAUGGAUAGACCGGCAAAUUCUGAUUCCAUGCUCGUAAUACGUGAAAAAAAUAAAGAAAAUUAUUCAAAACACUGGAGAUGUCAUCCGUCGGGCCAAAAACAACUUUUGAAAACCUAGAGUUGCCAGAGAGAUAGACAGAGACGUGAUAGGU